This 57-nucleotide transfer RNA is filed under the name Myotis lucifugus (little brown bat). It matches the Rfam family "tRNA", at positions 8 to 63 of the family's 71-position model. Rfam says of the family: Transfer RNA (tRNA) molecules are approximately 80 nucleotides in length. Their secondary structure includes four short double-helical elements and three loops (D, anti-codon, and T loops). The record is from Rfam by way of RNAcentral. Lineage: Eukaryota; Metazoa; Chordata; Mammalia; Chiroptera; Vespertilionidae.
UGGCUCAGUGGAUAGAGUGUUGGCUUGCAGAUCCAAAGGUCCCGGGUUCAAUUCCGG